This 324-nucleotide long non-coding RNA is filed under the name Trifolium pratense (red clover). RNAcentral's name for it is "long non-coding RNA (TPRA_LNC003517)". Lineage: Eukaryota; Viridiplantae; Streptophyta; Magnoliopsida; Fabales; Fabaceae. The record is from RNAcentral.
UCACAAAUUUUUGUUGCUAUAUAUGUUACUUCUGAAAUUUGAACGGGUUUGGAGGAUCGUCGUUUUGGCUCUGUGAGUUGGUGCAGAGACUUGUUGAUUCAUUGCUCUAUCGUAUCUGCUGUGUUAUCUCUGAAGAUGGAUUUCCAUGGUUAUGUUUUUGGUUCUUCCUUUUCUUUGGAUUUGAAGCUUAAUUGCAACGAAUUUGAGUUGAUUUCUGCAAUUUUAGAAACUUUUGAAGAUUCCAUAUAUGUACAAUUCUUGAGGUUUGUCUUUCAAGCUCAUCAGAUUUUGUCGAAGGUUAGACUGUUUGAUUUGAAAGAUUUA